This 440-nucleotide ribosomal RNA is filed under the name uncultured bacterium. Its description in RNAcentral is "partial 16S ribosomal RNA". It matches the Rfam family "Bacterial small subunit ribosomal RNA", at positions 338 to 795 of the family's 1533-position model. The record is from RNAcentral.
CCUACGGGGUGCAGCAGUGGGGAAUAUUGCACAAUGGGGGAAACCCUGAUGCAGCGAUGCCGCGUGAGUGAAGAAGUAUCUCGGUACGUAAAGCUCUUUCAGCAGGGAAGAAAAUGACGGUAUCUGACCAUUAAGCCCCGGCUAACUACGUGCAAGCAGCCGCGGUAAGACGUAGGAGGCAAGCGUGAUGCGGAUUUACUGGGUGUAAAGGGACCGUGGACGGCAGCACAAGUCUGGAGUGAAAUCCCGGGGCUUAACCCCGGAACUGCUUUGGAUACUGUGCGGCUGGAGUGCAGGAGGGGUAAGCAGAAUUCCUGGUGUAGCGGUGAAAUGCGUAGAUAUUAGGAGGAACACCGGUGGCGAAGGCGGCUUACUGGACUGUAACUGACGUUGAGGCUCGAAAGCGUGGGGAGCAAACAGGAUUAGAUACCCCGGUAGUC